RNAcentral lists this unclassified non-coding RNA (348 nucleotides) under soil metagenome. Its description in RNAcentral is "partial contains 5.8S ribosomal RNA, internal transcribed spacer 2, and large subunit ribosomal RNA". The stretch from base 1 to 120 matches the Rfam family "5.8S ribosomal RNA", at positions 35 to 154 of the family's 154-position model. The record is from RNAcentral.
GAUGAAGAACGCAGCAAAAUGCGAUAAGUAAUGUGAAUUGCAGAAUUCAGUGAAUCAUCGAAUCUUUGAACGCACAUUGCGCCCGCUGGUAUUCCGGUGGGCAUGCCUGUUCGAGCGUCAUUUCAACCCUCAAGCCCCCGGGUUUGGUGUUGGGGAUCGGCUCUGCCCUUCUGGGCGGUGCCGCCCCCGAAAUACAUUGGCGGUCUCGCUGCAGCCUCCAUUGCGUAGUAGCUAACACCUCGCAACUGGAACGCGGCGCGGCCAUGCCGUAAAACCCCAACUUCUGAAUGUUGACCUCGGAUCAGGUAGGAAUACCCGCUGAACUUAAGCAUAUCAAUAAGCGGAGGA